AGGCUUGUAGCUCAGGUGGUUAGAGCGCACCCCUGAUAAAGGGUGAGGUCGGUGGUUCAAGUCCACUCACGCCUA
RNAcentral lists this transfer RNA (75 nucleotides) under Pantoea ananatis LMG 20103. It matches the Rfam family "tRNA". From Rfam's summary of the family: Transfer RNA (tRNA) molecules are approximately 80 nucleotides in length. Their secondary structure includes four short double-helical elements and three loops (D, anti-codon, and T loops). Further hydrogen bonds mediate the characteristic L-shaped molecular structure. tRNAs have two regions of fundamental functional importance: the anti-codon, which is responsible for specific mRNA codon recognition, and the 3' end, to which the tRNAs corresponding amino acid is attached (by aminoacyl-tRNA synthetases). tRNAs cope with the degeneracy of the genetic code in two manners: having more than one tRNA (with a specific anti-codon) for a particular amino acid; and 'wobble' base-pairing, i.e. permitting non-standard base-pairing at the 3rd anti-codon position. The record is from Rfam by way of RNAcentral. Lineage: Bacteria; Pseudomonadati; Pseudomonadota; Gammaproteobacteria; Enterobacterales; Erwiniaceae.